RNAcentral lists this unclassified non-coding RNA (5568 nucleotides) under Copidosoma floridanum. RNAcentral's name for it is "cyclin-dependent kinase 12, transcript variant X3". Lineage: Eukaryota; Metazoa; Arthropoda; Insecta; Hymenoptera; Encyrtidae. The record is from RNAcentral.
UGUGAUGAGCAUGCAGUGCAAAAUGCUGUUCUGCUUAGUGCUAUCAUCUACUGAUGUGCUGCGUUGGUUAUAAAUGAAAAAGAAAGAAAGAGAUGAGGGUACAUGGCUGGCACAGUGUGUAUUGAAAGGAACAGAGCAUAUGUAAUUUUUUUGGAGCAUCGACGACGACAAGGCGGUAUCUGGAACUCUGCGCAUCAUCAGUUGUAGACUGGUAGAGUCGAGAAUCAAGCCGACAAGGUCGUAAUGUACCUCAGCACACCUAUGCGUGAUAAGUACAUGCGCUCGUCUCGCGUGCGGUUAUCUCCCACGGGGUGAUUACCUGGAUGAUUGUUAAUUGUUAGUCGCCUGCACAGCACGCCGAUUCCAGUGUCCGAGAAGUUGCAGCAGCUAAGGCGCAAACUGUGUCGAGAGAGAGCUUAUGCUUGACGUACUGUGCCGACCCCAUACUGAUAUGGGUUCUCCGAUUUAGGUUACUCGCAAUGUGUGGGCCAAGUGCAGGUCCAAUGUGCUUUUGCCCUGUAGACUUUACUUACCUGUGCGUUAACUUUGAAAAUUAAAUUUCAUACGUAGGGCUGGAAACGCUUGUGUGGUGACUUUUCGAAAUAAGACUCGAGUGUCGAUGUUUUUGUUGUUGCUUAGUUGCAAAUUUUCCAGCCCAGAAGUUGCAUGCACGAUUUCAUUUUUUACUCACCACCAUAGCACUUACAAUGAGUAGGUGACAUGCCUAGCAGUCGUGAUAUCGAGCGAGCGGAACGCAACGGUCGCUACAAGUCCUCGCGAAGGAAAGACAGCACCAGUGGCCUCGGCGGUAGUGAGCUGUUAUCCCUCGGCAUCAGUGCUCCUAGUGGCAGCUCCAGCCGGAGCUACGAAGUAGCCGCGGCUGCGGCAGUCGUAGCUCAAAGUGUCGAGUCCGUAGUAGGGGGAGGCUCAAGCCUGAGCUUGGGUAGACAUCGCCGGCACCAUCGCCGGGCCGGUGGUAUCAAGAAAAAGAAGAAGCGUUCGCGAGACAGCCGCUCGGGCAUUGGACACCACCAGUCCCUGACCAAAAAGCCCCUCGUCGAGUACUCGGACGUCAGCAGUGAGGACCUUUCAGAACCAGAGGCUGGUGAGAUCCAAUCAGAAGACAGUCGCGGAGGCCACAGCUACACGGACGGCGAGGUGCCCGAAUCACUGCUAAGGCCCCGGUACUAUGGGGGGACUGCUGCUGAUCCCCAACUUACCCGUGGACUCGACACAUCGCCCAUCAGUCUAUCGCCCCCGCCACCUGUACACACGCGUCUAUCCAAAAAGUCGUCGCAGCAGCAGCACUACGGCGCCCCUACGUCUCCCGCGCUCCUGCGCUCGGUUGAGGUCGCCAUGGCCGGUAACUACGUGGACGAAGAGCAGCGUCGCGUUCGCCGCAAAGAGAAAAAGCACAAACGCGACAAGAAAAAAGCUCGGGUCAGCCUCAGUCCGGGCUCCAGUGUGUCCAGCAGCAAGAAAAAGAAAAAACGCAAGUCGAAGCGCGCCUCUCGUAGCGUCAGCCCCACAGGUAUGAUGGUCGCGGGCGGCGAGCUGCUGCACUCCCAAGCGCUGACCAGCUGGCGGCUCCAGCAACAGCAUCAGUCCGGCCACUCGCCGCCCCGCAUGAGCCACAAGGCGAGCACUUCGCCAAUCUCACCUGCCACGCCACCUGAGCGGCGCUCACCCAGCGACAUGGACCUCGAGUCACCACCCUCACGGCAGCACAUGACAACGCCCCCGCAGUCUACGUCCAUACACGCGUCCAUGCUGCACCAGCAGCAGGUCGUCGGCAGACACAUCGAGUCACCGCACACUCCGUUACUACCGCCCCAUCGAGCCAUCACGCCCGAUAACCAUCACCACUCGAGCAAGUCCAAGCAAGGUGGUGGUGGCGGUGGCGGUAGUGGUCACCCGCAUAGCCCAGACUCACGACACAAGUCCUCUCUGGCUCACCUAAGCCCGAACCACGUCAGCUCGAGUCGACGGAGGCCUCACAGUCCGACCAGUCCGCCGCCGUCUUCGUCUUCGAGUAAACGGCGCAGGGAGCACAGUCCGACCUCGGGAAGCAGGCGUCGGGACUACAGUCCCUCGAAUCACAGCUCGAUGCACAGGAUAAGCAGCAGGCACAGCCCGAGUCCGAGCUCGCAUCGAAAGAGCCGGGCCGACGACUUGCUUAUCAACAGGUCGUCGCCCUCGUCAUCCAGCCGAAAGAGAAGAAGAGAAGACUCCUCCUCGAGGCAGCACAGGCAUCACGAGAAAGACAGGAGGGACAAGAGAAAAUUAGCGAGGAGCCCAGUAGGCUCGUCCUCCUCGAGGGCGCACCUGUCUCGCUCGAGGUCACGCAGCCCACACCGUAGCUGGCGCAAGUCGCGCUCGCGUUCUCGCUCCCGACGGCGCAGCCGUACCCCCAAAAAGUCUCACUCGCCGAGCAAGUCGCACAAAUCGUCGCGCAAGCGCCGCUCAAGGAGUCCACGGAUCUCGCGCAUACCCUCGCCGGUUCACCGUCGCAAGUCACCGAAUAGCCUCCUGAAACAUAAGCUCCAGGUCGCGGAAAAGGUCCAACAGACCAGCUUGUUUGCCGAACUGGUCAAGGAUCGCAAUAUGCGGGAACUCGCGCUCAAAAGGCUACAAGCAGCCAAGGAGAAGGCUAGUCAGGACGAUGUGCAAAUAAUUGAAGGCUCGGACGACAAGGACAACAGUAACGGCUCCUCGUCAACGACGACCAUCGAGAGGAACAACGAUAAGUCCUCAACAGCCGCUACGACACCUCUUACGAAUGUAGACUUGACCGUCGACGUUCUCGAUAUACCCGUUCCUCAAACGAACAUUCUACCGCCUACGUUGCCAGAGGCACAGACUCCACAAAUAGAGAUACAAACGUCGACACAGACACAGGUGCAGGCGCAGACGCCGAUACUGCAGACAAAGGUGCAGUCGCUAGCACCAGUGCAAGUGGCAACGGAGACGUUGGUUCCAGCCGUGCCAAGCACCGUCCUGAUUGGUGUCCCGCUCGCUGUGGAUGAUUCUAUGACCGAUGCUCCUACACCGGUAGUUCUCAUUCCUAAUGCUACCACCUUGGACACGUCAACACAAAAUGACACGCCUGUGGCUCCUAAGACACCUCCGUUGCCGGUGGCACCUGUCUUACCAGCCGUUGUAUCAAUGUUCACGCAACAGCAGCAACAACAACAGCCACAACCAAAGCUGGAGAUUUCUGCAUCUGCAGCGGCGUUGCAGGUUGGAGCAGCCAUUGCAGCUCAGGCCGCACAUGUAUAUAAUAAUUCUCUUGCUCCGGGUAACGACGCACCCAUUGCAAGUAUUCCGGGAGUAUCGAUAACAACAACAGCUGUUCAGAAUUUGCCAGCUGUAACACAACACAUGCCACAGCAAAAGCCACAAGUAGUUCAGCCGGUACAAUUACAGCCUCAGUUGCAACAGCUUCAACAGCAACUCCAGCAACAUUUGCAGCAGCAGCAACAACAACAGCAGCAACAGCAGCAGCAUUCGCCACAUCAUGCUCAUCAUCCAGACGUUAAUCCAGUUAUUCCCAUAUCAUCAGGUCUACCUCAAGUGCCUGUCCCAGUGCCUCUACCCGUACCAGCACCGCCUCCUUCGGCAGUCGUCGCUCGUGUUCCGACUCCCACUCCUACUUCUAUCCCUACUCCAGUCCCAAUUCCAACACCAGUCCCAACCCCAGUUCUAAUUCCAACCCCUGCUCCUAUCCCAACCCCAACCCCAACACCUGCUUCCGCACCUGUUGUGUCGAUGGUUACCGCACAUCCACCCGUACUCCCUCCUAUGAUACAUAAUGCCCCUCCCGUUGGGCCACCUCCCGUGACCACAUCUGCUUUCCCUACGACCUCGGCUAUUGCCAAAUUAUUCAGUACCCCCGAUAACCUUGUACCAGUUCCUAUAAAAUCUGUUGAUACGCCAAAGCAGCCAGUUCUUUCAUUCAAAACUAGUAUCCUCAACAAGCUGCCGAUGCCUCCUGGCCCAUAUCAAAACGAUCUAGAGAGCAUAGACUCCCCGCCAAGUCGUUCUCCUACACCACCUCCAACUAAGCCAAUGGUAAAGUUGACUCCGAUUAUCGGUAGCACUACACCUGUCACUCCAAAGCCGAAAAAACGUGGUAUCAAAGACCUACCCAUGCCACCUGUCAUUGCUGGUACGGAAGAUCUUAGUGGUGAUGAUGACGCGGUAUCGACUCCACCGCGGAACAAAAUCGAACGGAUAACUCCAAAACCAAAGCUGAAAAGACCAAAAAUAUUGAAAAAGAAGGGUUUACGAAACAAUAACAUACCUAUGUCGGCUUCUGGUGGCAGAGAUUGGGGAGAACGGUGUGUCGAUGUGUUUCAAGUCCUUGAUCAAAUCGGUGAGGGUACUUAUGGUCAGGUGUACAAAGCGCAAGACAAAAGGGCUAGUGUUAUUGUUGCUCUGAAAAAGGUACGAUUAGAAAAUGAAAAAGAUGGAUUCCCGAUCACGGCUGUGCGAGAAAUCAAAAUCCUGCGACAGCUUAAUCAUAAAAAUGUUGUCAAUCUGAGGGAAAUCGUUACUGAUAAACAAGACGCUCUUGAUUUCCGAAAAGACAAGGGAUCUUUUUACUUGGUUUUUGAGUACAUGGAUCACGACUUGAUGGGUUUGUUAGAGUCUGGAUUAGUCGAAUUUAAUGAGAUGAAUAAUUCCAGCAUAAUGAAGCAGUUACUCGAUGGCUUGAACUAUUGUCACAGCAAAAACUUUCUACACCGUGAUAUUAAAUGUUCCAAUAUUCUUAUGAACAACAAGGGUGAAGUCAAGUUAGCUGAUUUUGGUUUGGCUAGGCUGUACAAUGCAGAGGAUAGGCAACGUCCUUACACGAACAAAGUAAUCACUUUAUGGUACAGGCCACCGGAACUAUUGUUGGGAGAAGAACGUUAUGGUCCUGCAAUCGACGUGUGGAGUUGUGGAUGUAUUUUAGGAGAAUUAUUUUUAAAGAAACCAUUAUUUCCUGGAAACACGGAAAUGAUGCAACUGGAUUAUAUAUCCAAAGUUUGUGGAACACCAACGCCAGCAGUAUGGCCAACUGUGAUAAAAUUACCUCUAUGGCAUACUUUGAAACCGAAAAAAACACACAGACGAAGGCUUCGAGAAGACUUUAAUUUCAUGCCAGGUACUGCGUUAGAAUUAUUGGAUAAAAUGCUGGAGUUGGAUCCGGACAAGCGCAUAACAGCUGCUGACGCUCUGAAGAGCCCAUGGCUUAAACAUGUGAAUCCAGAACAAAUGCCGAUACCUAAAUUGCCAACGUGGCAAGAUUGUCACGAGCUGUGGAGUAAGAAUAAAAGACGACAGUUGAGAAAACAACAAGAAAUACAAGGCGGAAUUCCAUUGAUGUCAGUAUCAAAUAGAGACGGCAUGCAAAAAAUUAUCGAGGACCUCGACGUUGGGGGGAAAUAAAAAUGUAGUGGCCAAUUGUGAUAAAGGAAUUUUGUGUAGAGCUUUUAUGAAUAAUGUCAUCUAAAAGAUUAAAAAUGGAGGCAGGUUAUGGUUCAGUCCUGCGAUAUGGUUCAGAACCACACGUGAUGGGUGGCG